RNAcentral lists this ribosomal RNA (475 nucleotides) under bacterium BCM24-1. Its description in RNAcentral is "bacterial SSU rRNA". It matches the Rfam family "Bacterial small subunit ribosomal RNA", at positions 59 to 514 of the family's 1533-position model. The record is from RNAcentral.
CAGUCGAGCGGAACGAGUUAUCUGAACCUUCGGGGAACGAUAACGGCGUCGAGCGGCGGACGGGUGAGUAAUGCCUAGGAAAUUGCCCUGAUGUGGGGGAUAACCAUUGGAAACGAUGGCUAAUACCGCAUGAUGCCUACGGGCCAAAGAGGGGGACCUUCGGGCCUCUCGCGUCAGGAUAUGCCUAGGUGGGAUUAGCUAGUUGGUGAGGUAAGGGCUCACCAAGGCGACGAUCCCUAGCUGGUCUGAGAGGAUGAUCAGCCACACUGGAACUGAGACACGGUCCAGACUCCUACGGGAGGCAGCAGUGGGGAAUAUUGCACAAUGGGCGCAAGCCUGAUGCAGCCAUGCCGCGUGUGUGAAGAAGGCCUUCGGGUUGUAAAGCACUUUCAGUCGUGAGGAAGGUGGUGUAGUUAAUAGCUGCAUUAUUUGACGUUAGCGACAGAAGAAGCACCGGCUAACUCCGUGCCAGCAG